GCCUGAUAUCGCCUAGCGGGGGUCCAUGCGGAAAGGGGCUUUCAACCGAUUCGUAAUCGGUAGGUCGCGAGUUCGAUUCUCGCCGUCGGCACCA
This 94-nucleotide transfer RNA is filed under the name Roseococcus suduntuyensis. RNAcentral describes it as "tRNA-Thr". The stretch from base 22 to 91 matches the Rfam family "tRNA". Rfam says of the family: Transfer RNA (tRNA) molecules are approximately 80 nucleotides in length. Their secondary structure includes four short double-helical elements and three loops (D, anti-codon, and T loops). The record is from RNAcentral. Lineage: Bacteria; Pseudomonadati; Pseudomonadota; Alphaproteobacteria; Acetobacterales; Roseomonadaceae.